RNAcentral lists this ribosomal RNA (504 nucleotides) under uncultured bacterium. Its description in RNAcentral is "bacterial SSU rRNA". It matches the Rfam family "Bacterial small subunit ribosomal RNA", at positions 1 to 507 of the family's 1533-position model. The record is from RNAcentral.
CUGACGAGUUUGAUCAUGGCUCAGGAUGAACGCUAGCGGGAGGCUUAACACAUGCAAGUCGAGGGGCAGCACGUCUUCGGAUGGUGGCGACCGGCGAACGGGUGCGUAACGCGUAUGCAACCUACCCUUAACAGGAGAAUAGCCCAGAGAAAUUUGGAUUAAUACUCCAUAGUAUUACGGAUUCGCAUGUUUCUGUAAUUAAAGUUCCAACGGUUAAGGAUGGGCAUGCGUGACAUUAGCUUGUUGGUGAGGUAACGGCUCACCAAGGCAACGAUGUCUAGGGGUUCUGAGAGGAUGAUCCCCCACACUGGUACUGAGACACGGACCAGACUCCUACGGGAGGCAGCAGUGAGGAAUAUUGGACAAUGGAGGAAACUCUGAUCCAGCCAUCCCGCGUGCAGGAAGAAGGCCCUAUGGGUUGUAAACUGCUUUUAUACAGGAAUAAACCCCUCUACGUGUAGAGGGCUGAAGGUACUGUAAGAAUAAGCACCGGCUAAUUCCGUG